GGAAAACCUUCCAACUAAAGGUGACCUAUCACUUCAUGAAGUACAACUUGGCCCCACAACACUAUAUACCAUCAGCUGACAAUCCUCCCGCAGACAUACAACUCCAGAUACCCAACUCAACAGGCAGCCGCCGGAAAACGUGUGGCGAGACCCCAUUUGCUCCAGGACUUUUCGAUCUGCUGCAGCGCUGCUACACCACUUUCAGAGCAGCAGCACCAACCAAGACACUUCUCAGCACAUUUUCUGCAUUCCAGUUCAACAUUUACCUGCUCUGUUGCAGGCUAUCGUUCUACUUCUGUGGGUUUUAUGGCGGACUACAACCCCAAAAUGUGUGUUCCCGCCACCAACUUGAUGGGGUUGAAAAAACAAGUACAUUUUCAAAGGUGGAAGAGACCCUCCACAGUUGCUGCAGUGUGUGUUCUACUGGCUGUGAUCAUGGGCCUGCGGGGUUCCUAUGCAACUGCAGAGAGAGACCAGCUACAAAAAAGUCUAAAUACCUCAACCAGAGAGAGAGACCAGCCACAAAAUAGUCUAAUUUCCACAACCACAGAGAGAGACCAGAAAUGUAAUAGUCUAUUUUCCACGACCACAGAGAGAGACCAGCCACAAAAUAGUCUAAUUUCCAUGACCACAGAGAAAGACCAGCUACAGAAUAGUUUAAAUACCAUGAACACAGAGAGAGACCAGCUACAAAAUAGUCUAAUUUCCACGACCACAGAGAGAGACCAGCUACAGAAUAGUCUGAAAACCAUGACCACAGAGAGAGACCAGCUACAGAAUAGUCUAAUUACCACGGCCAUAGAGAGAGACCAGCAACAGAAUAGUGUAAAUACCAUGAACACAGAGAGAGACCAGCUACAGAAUAGUCUAAAUACCAUGACCACAGAGAGAGACCAGCUACAGAAUAGUCUAA
Long non-coding RNA from Oncorhynchus tshawytscha (Chinook salmon), 913 nucleotides. RefSeq lists it as uncharacterized. NCBI's taxonomy places the organism in Eukaryota, Metazoa, Chordata, Actinopteri, Salmoniformes, Salmonidae. The transcript is spliced from 4 exons. The record is from RefSeq and is a predicted model, not a curated record.